Molecule: microRNA precursor, 81 nt
Filed under: Poecilia reticulata (guppy)
Lineage: Eukaryota; Metazoa; Chordata; Actinopteri; Cyprinodontiformes; Poeciliidae
Also listed under: 1 other name
Description: mir-26 microRNA precursor family
Rfam family: mir-26 microRNA precursor family
About the family: The hairpin precursors (represented here) are predicted based on base pairing and cross-species conservation -- their extents are not known.
Source: Rfam by way of RNAcentral
UCUGGGCCUGAUUCAAGUAAUCCAGGAUAGGUUUGUUCAGACAAGCACAGCCUGUUCCGGAUGACUUGGUUCAGGAACGUU